RNAcentral lists this ribosomal RNA (253 nucleotides) under uncultured bacterium. RNAcentral describes it as "partial 16S ribosomal RNA". It matches the Rfam family "Bacterial small subunit ribosomal RNA", at positions 524 to 776 of the family's 1533-position model. The record is from RNAcentral.
UACGUAGGGUGCAAGCGUUAAUCGGAAUUACUGGGCGUAAAGCGUGCGCAGGCGGUUUUGUAAGUCUGUCGUGAAAGCCCCGGGCUCAACCUGGGAAUUGCGAUGGAGACUGCAAGGCUUGAAUCUGGCAGAGGGGGGUAGAAUUCCACGUGUAGCAGUGAAAUACGUAGAGAUGUGGAGGAACACCGAUGGCGAAGGCAGCCCCCUGGGUCAAGAUUGACGCUCAUGCACGAAAGCGUGGGGAGCAAACAGG